GUCUCCUCCUCACCACCUGGGUGACUUUGGGCAAGACAUUUAACUUCCUGAGCCUCUGGUUAAUCAUCAGCUAAAUGGGGCCAGAAAGACCCGCCUCCAGCUUCCCUCCCUAGCCGCUCGUGAGAAACCUGGGGCACCGAGCUUCCCUUCCCGCAGGCCCAGGGUGCCUGGCCUAGUCUGGUUGGUUCCUGCUGCAAACAGUUACACGGAGGUCCUCCCGGGGCUGGGUGUUCCACAGGCCUUUCCAGAUCACUUCCGUUUUACCAAGUCAUCGUCGAUACCAUCUUUUCCAGGAAACCUUUCCCCAUCGUGAGCCCCGCCUGAUGACUCCAUCUGAUACCAAACAUGGUUCCCACAAGCUCCGUUGUGCACCGCCUGGGGCUCUCGCUGCUUUGUGGGCAUACUGAAACUUGUUUCAGGCCCAGGACCACCCCCCCCACCCCAGCCCAACAAGCAAGGCUGGUGGGGCCCCCUCUCCUGGCUCUCCUCCAGGCUUGCCGUCAGGACACGGCUCCGCUUUUCAGAGUCUCUAUGGUUGCAGGCAGUGGGCAGGGGGUACAGUGGGCAGGGGUACAGUGGGCAGGGGUACACUGGUUAGAGACACAGCUUCCGAACACCCCCUCCCACCCCAAUGCACUAACUCUGUGACUUGGGCAGCUCUCCUCAUCUCUUCAUUUCUCUGUCUUGGGCAGAUGACCAUAAUACUGCACCCCACCCAAGACUGGGGUGAGGGUUUAGUAUUAUCAGAUGCUGCCCCUUCGUGGUAUUUUAAGUCUUAGCUCCCAGUAAAAGAUCUUGGGUCAUUUUGUGACAUUAUAGAAACGUAAGGAAAUUCUUACUGUUAUUAGCCUUGUGGGACUCAGUUUCCCCAUUUGAGGGUUGGGGCACAUGAUCUUUGAGGGUCCUCUGGUUUUAAUGAUUUAUAAUUCUAAAACAGGCCGGUGAAUGUCUUGCUUGGGAGUGUGUGGUGGUUUAGGGCCAGAAGUGUAGGGCUUGGGGUGACACCCAGGGGCCCAGGCUUGGGGAAGGGGGACCCAGUUGCUGGAAGGUGAUGACUGGAACCGUGCAAGAGGAGGGGUAGAUGUUGGGUGCUGGGCCUUCCCAACCGGGGCGGCCCUGUGUGCCGUCUCUAUCCAGAGCCUGUAGGAAGGCCAGUAUCCCCAGCUGGGGGAGCCCCAGUUCCCAUAGGGACUGGGAGGCCUCCUAAAAGAGCUAUGUGUAAGGGACUGACACAUUUCAUGGAUUGAAACCCCCAAUUUUUCUUUCUCUGGAGGAAAAUCCUGGAGACAGAUAGCAGCCACAGUCUUUCUUGGGGGGCUGGCCUUCCCCUCAUCCUGGGACUCCCUAAGUGGGCUGUCAGAAAAGACAUUCUCACCCGUUCUUGUUGUGAUCUCCCAGUGGAGCCCCUUUCUCUGCUCAGCUCGGGCAGGGGCUUGAGUCUUUGUUAGCCGGGCAGGUCCUUCACUCCUGUGUCGAGGAGCGCAGAGUGGGGGUUCUCCCCAGUGGGAGAACGGCCCGACAGGUGUCCACCUGCCCUCCCACACAGCAAGCCAGACUCCUCCGGAAGCGGCCUUGACCACUAUCACUCCGGAUACCUGCUCUCAGGAUCGACGGCGGUAGGUAGAAGUGAGAUGGUGACCCAUUGCCGUCGGGGCUGCCAAGGAGCUCCAGGGCACCUGCUAGCCCAGCCCCAUGUGGUAUCCGGGAAGCUGCCCCAGGACAGGCUGCCAAGCUCCUAUCUUCCAGGCUCUUUGUCCUGCGUGCUAUAGGCAUGGACUCAGAGGUGAAGAGUCUUGCUUGAGAAGUGACCAUGAUGGAAAUAGAGCCCGAUUCCCGGUCUGGCUGCUUCCCAGCACCUACCUGCCUCCUGCCUGCCACCGGGCUCUGCCUCCCAGCCUGUCCUUUCCACCCGUCACAGUCGUCCUCGGAAACCGCAUCAAGGUGUGGCUCACAGGCCCUUCUUGUGAAACAGCAGGAAGCCUGCUUGCUGAAGACUCAAUCUGGGCUGCGGGGGACGGUUUCCCGGCCAGCCUCCCCCCGGCGCAGCCACUGGGGUGCUCCAUGCCUCAUCGUACCACACAGGACAUCUCUGUGUUGCGUCAGGAUUAGAGUCGCCUGAUGGCUGGCCCUUCUUGCUACUCUGGGACUCCCCACCGAGCACACACCGUCCUCCCUCCUCCUCUGGCUUCUUUCCAUCCUGUCCUGCCUCCCCAGGGCCUCCUCGGCCUCCAGAACAGGGACUUGUCUGAGGAGCAUGGCCGGACGGAUGCUAAGCCCUCCUGGGAGUGCACGACAGUGGGUUUUCACGAAGGGGAUCCUUUUAAAACCCCGAAUCUCAGCUAGUCAUGUGAAAACGUGCUUGACAUCCUUCGUUAUCAGGAAAAGGCAAAUGAAAAUCACAAAGGGACACCACCAUGCCCUUACCAGAGUGGCUCCCCAGAAAGAACAGGGGACGCCACACACAGGUGAGGAAGAAGAGUCGCUCGAACACUCGUGGACCCCUGGUGGGCAGAAGUGGGCACAAUCGCUUUGGAAGACGGUUGGGCCAGACCUGUGAAUGCAAGGCCCCUUCCGGGUAUACGCCGAUCAGAGAUGAGGGUCGCGUGCCCCAGAGUUACCUAUAAGAAUGUCGUGGCAGCUUUAUUCAUAAUUGGCCCCAACCGGAAACAGCACACCUCUCUGUUGGUGACAGAAGUAAUACAUGGCAGUGGAGUCGCACAACGCAAAGGGCUUCAACAGGUGUCUGCUGUGAACAGAACUGGUGGUAGAAUCAUCUGAAAGGACUGUGCCAGGCUGAAACGCUGACCCCGCUCAUUAAGGAGGGCCUGUUGGAGCCCCUGCCUGGUCUUCUACCUCAGAAUCCUACUUUGCCUUCUGGCGUGGACUCAGACACAGGCGCCGAGGAACGGUCUACCUGCAGAGAGCCUGCGUCCCGAGGACUACAGGUAGGUCCCCAUCCUGGCUCCCUACUGUCCCCCACUGCUGUCACCAGCAGCCAGGGCCCAGGUGUCGAAGCUGAAGGUGACGAUCAAGGUGACUGACAGCCCAACGAACAGCACGUAUGGCGCUCCAGCUCUUACGUGCUUCACCCACCAAAUCACCCACUUUGCCACCGGUCCGUCCGGUUUCCUAGCUCAGGCUCUGCUUAUUCCUCAGUGACACCUGGCAUGGCCGGUGCUUCUGCACUAUUAAGAGUCCGCGGGGUGGCCUGUUGACGACGCGUCCAGAGCUCUGACUCCAUUACUGGGGGCUGGGGCCUGGAUGACUGAUGUUUUUAAGUCCCCAGUGACUCAGGCAUGUGUGUGCAGGGUUCACUUCUUUGGCUCAGUGGAGGCUGUGAUGUGUGUUGAUGGUACCCUGGAGCUGGUUCCCCAGAAGGGCUGUUCCUGAGCCUGCCUGGAGGAGAUCAAGGUGAGCUGGGGACCCUCGAGUAUGAGGCCCUCUGCUGUGGUGCGCUUGCGUGCUGGGGAGGGUGUGGUUGGCGGAGGGGAGGGAGGGAAGAGGGCUGUGCCUCAGCCUCUCCGCUGGGAGCUGGUGGUGUGGAAGUAGAGUGGGGAUUGGCCCACUAGAUGGGUAAAUCAGGCUGUAAAUCAGGGCAGAAAAUUGGGUUUGGGGACCACAGAAGCCAGUACCCAGACCCCAGGACUGGGUCAGGGCCAAGGUGCCUCCAGGAACAGGGUCUCCCCGCCAGCUUUCACAGAAGCCUUUCCUCCUGCACCCUUCCCCCUGACUCACCUACCUCCCAUUCUCCAAACACAGGGCAGAUACCACCUGGGAUAAUUGAGAUUUGUAAUAAGAAGCAUGUGUUUGGUCUUUGUCCUGGUUCCCGGCACAGAGCUCCUAAAACCCUCAGAAUUUCCUAAGUGAUAAGCGUGAUAAAGGUAUCUUGAUACUCAUAAGAGAUCCUUUCAACCACACCUGGGUUUAAGUUAAUGAAGUUUGGAAAACACCUAAGAAUGGGGGCUGGCUGCCAGGGCAACCAACCGUGUGAUUAGAAGGUUGGAACUCUCCGCCCCACCUCUGACCUCCAGGGAGGAUCGAGGGGCUGGAGAUUGAGCUCAGUUAUCAGUGGCCAAUAAUUUAGUCAAUCAUGCCUGUGUCCUGAAGCCUCCAUAAAAGCCCAAAGGGACAGGGUUUGGAGAAGCUUCUGGCUUGGUGACCCCAGGCAGAUGCGGGAAGAGAAGCUCCGCGCCCCUUCCCAUGUGCCUUGACUUAAAUGCAGCUCUUCUAGGAAUUAAAGCUUUUUCUAAUAAACAGGUGAUCUACUGAGUUAACUGGUUUCCUAAGUUCUGUAAGCCACUCUAGCAAACUAAUUGAACCCAAGGAACCUUUCAUUUCUAGCCCGUGGGUCAGAAGCAGAGGUGACAAGUUGGAUGUGACCCUGGUGUUUGAGGGGGGUGGGCAGUCUUGGGGGACUAUGCCCCUAGCCUCUGGGAUCUGAUGCUCCCUCCAGGUCGACAGUGUCUGGAGUGAAUUUAUUGCUCGGUGGCAUGGAAGAAAAUGCACAUUGGCAGUGGUGUCAGAAUCCUACCAUCUUUUCUGCUCGACACCAAAUGUGGCUCCCACAAACUCCGUUUAUAACCCACGGGGGUUCACACUGCUCCGUGAGCGAACUGAAACUGGUGUCUGGUCUAGCAUUCUCCAGAGUUAGGCUGGUGCCACCCCCUUCCCUGGCUUUCUUCCCCCCUCCUGCUGCUUGAGACCUGGCUCUGGGCCCCUGAGCUGGUUCAGCGCAUGCGUUCUGAUGGUCUCGUCCCCAAGCCUUAGCUUCCUCUCCUGGGUUCAGUUCUCAUUGGGCCGAAUGAGCAUGUUGGGCUAGAAUGAUCUUUUAGAACUAACAGAAGGUGCUAAAUUCUCAAGUUGGCCUGGGAUCCUCUUAAACACUUCUGGUCUGGAGAACCCCUACACAUCCUUUAGGCCCAGGGGAAACAUCACAAGCCUUUCAGACCUUCCCAAGUAAAAUGAAGACAUUCUUGUUCUGUGCUACCCAUAGGGCUUUAUGCACAGUUCUGCUUCGACUUGUGGCCAGCAGGCACUGGCUGUUUUGGAAUUUGGGACCCCUGGACGCUCAGAAUUUUUUGAAAGAAGGACUCUGGGCGGGAUCAUUACAGAAACUCAGGAGUGGCCUGGCCCAGAGUGGCCAAAUGAAUGAAUGCAUGCAUGAGUAAAACAAUGAAUUCCUCCGUUCAUCAAGUUCACUCUCUUUAACAUCCUACAAUCAGAGUGCUCGAGGUAAGGAAGAAGGGAGAGGGGCCUCCAUGGUACCCAGAAAGGAGCUCUGGCUGCCUAGCUAUCUUAGUCCCAGGCCCACAGCUGAAGGCAGUGGUGGGCACACCCCAGGGGGACCUUAGCCACACUGGUAGGUUCUGUCCCCAGGUCACCUAGCAUUUUGUCCUCUGGAUGUGGGGAGAGGGCUGAGGGUUGAGGUUUGGGCAGAAGGAGCCUAACCAGGAAAGUUCUUCCUGAGCCUAGCUCAACUAGCAACUAGAGAGUGAGGUGUGCCCUGUACUCCUGGGACCCUGGGGGAAGGGGCCGGAUCUGGCUUCCCUGGCCUGGAGAGCCUGUGCCUGGGACUAAUUGGCUGGCCCUCCUUCCGCUGCUGGGGAAAGUCUUGGCUAAUUUGCCGGAACGCUCUAGUUAAAUGCCAAUUAGGACGUUCUGUCCACUGCUCUUUUCCAAUAUAUUAAUAAUGUAAUUAAGCAUUUAUUGCCUGUGCAAAUUAAAAAUUAACUUAAACGGACAGCCUGGAAAACUGAGGAAGUGACCACUUAAACAACCAAUUUGCAUCUCAUUCGAGAACCAGCAUCUAAACAGUCUAGGGUGCUGGUCUGGCCUCCCAGCUAGGGGCCCAGCCAGCUGCCAACAGCUGCUGGCUCCUUCUCCACGCCUGAUUCCCCGAUUCUGCCUGCCCCCGCCUCCACGCUUCACUGGAUCCUAGGUGUGGAGGACGGGCUUCAGCCCAGAUGAGCCGGACGGAAGGACCACCUUGGCCUCCAACACCUGCUUUCCCACCCCCCGCUACCUUCCUCAGGGGCAAAUGGUGUGGAUUUCAGUGAAAGGAGAUGCUACUGGUGAUGAUGGGGGGGGGGGGUGUGUGUGACCCCCUGCCACUCCCACCCAAGACCGAUUUGUCCUGCAUUCCAGCCCAGGAGAUGGGAAGCAGAUGGUGCUGGAGUUGGGAGGGGAGGUGACCAAGGAAGGAUGAGCCCUUCUCUGCAACCAGUCCCCUGGAGAGAUGAGUAGCUGGGUCUCUGGCAGAGAGAGCUGGCAGGGGACAGGUCCUGGUGGUCUCCUCGAAACAAAAGAUGAAAGGAUAAAGCUCCCCAUCUCUCCCCUGUCCCCAGUCUGUCUGACAUGACAGGUGUGCCAGUGCUGGUUUUCUCCUCCAAACAACAGCAGGAGGGGACUUGGCAGGAAGGAGCAGGACAGCAGGG
Long non-coding RNA from Mustela erminea (ermine), 6434 nucleotides. RefSeq lists it as uncharacterized. Lineage: Eukaryota; Metazoa; Chordata; Mammalia; Carnivora; Mustelidae. The transcript has 3 exons. The record is from RefSeq and is a predicted model, not a curated record.